AUUGAACGCUGGCGGCAUGCCUUACACAUGCAAGUCGAACGGUAGAAGGGGGCAACCCCUUCGAGAGUGGCGAACGGGUGAGUAAUGCAUCGGAACGUGCCCAGUCGUGGGGGAUAGCCCGGGGAAACCCGGAUUAAUACCGCAUACGACCUGAGGGUGAAAGCGGGGGACCGUAAGGCCUCGCGCGAUUGGAGCGGCCGAUGUCGGAUUAGGUAGUUGGUGGGGUAAAAGCCCACCAAGCCUGCGAUCCGUAGCUGGUCUGAGAGGACGACCAGCCACACUGGGACUGAGACACGGCCCAGACUCCUACGGGAGGCAGCAGUGGGGAAUUUUGGACAAUGGGGGCAACCCUGAUCCAGCCAUGCCGCGUGCGGGAAGAAGGCCUUCGGGUUGUAAACCGCUUUUGUCAGGGAAGAAAUGUCCUGGGCUAAUACCCUGGGGGGAUGACGGUACCGUAAGAAUAAGCACCGGCUAACUACGUG
This 482-nucleotide ribosomal RNA is filed under the name uncultured bacterium. RNAcentral's name for it is "bacterial SSU rRNA". It matches the Rfam family "Bacterial small subunit ribosomal RNA", at positions 29 to 507 of the family's 1533-position model. The record is from RNAcentral.